Drosophila pseudoobscura is the source of this 673-nucleotide long non-coding RNA. RefSeq lists it as uncharacterized. The record is from RefSeq and is a predicted model, not a curated record. Lineage: Eukaryota; Metazoa; Arthropoda; Insecta; Diptera; Drosophilidae. The transcript has 3 exons.
UUUAAAUAUCAGAAGCAAUAACCGAGUCGGCAUAGCCAUGUCUUUCUGACUAUAAGAGCUGGAGCUGCCAAAUGUUGUUUCAAGACUCCUGUAAUAUUACACUGAAAUAAUUUUUUUUUUAAAUUAUCCCACGCCUCACUCAUGGGAUCAUUAUUAUUGCUAGUAGAAACAUAUAAUAUUGCAGUAGUGUGCGCCCCAUGGCGGAGAGAAGCGAUAAUAAACGGCUGAUGUUGGCUUGAGAAUCGAAAAAAAGAGACAGCUAUAAAAAAAAGUAAAGAAAAAUGGAAACAAAUAAAAUCGAAUAUAUAAAAAUCUCCCAAAAGGUUAAAAAAUUCAUUUUGUUGGCAAAAAAUCAAUUUGAUACCAAACGACAUAUGAAAUAUAUUCUAGAAAUGACAUAAGCAAUAAGCUCACAUAUGUACAUAUAUCCUCCCCAUUCAUGUUUUUAACGGUAAAAAGCAAAGUUAUGAAAGCGAAACAAAUAAGAAGAUUCUUCAUCGAAGCGAGCUCUUAAGAAUAAGAAAGCAUAGGAUCUUCCGAUCCUGCAGCCAGCGCGUACGCAUUACUUAUCGUUUACCCCACAGACCAGCUCCAGUGGCAUAGCCACAGCAACUAUCGUUGUAAGUGCCGUGCUACAAAAUUAAGGGAACAUACAUAUUUUUUUUAUUGAAGU